RNAcentral lists this ribosomal RNA (472 nucleotides) under uncultured bacterium. RNAcentral describes it as "bacterial SSU rRNA". It matches the Rfam family "Bacterial small subunit ribosomal RNA", at positions 27 to 518 of the family's 1533-position model. The record is from RNAcentral.
GGACGAACGCUGGCGGCGUGCUUAACACAUGCAAGUCGAGCGAUGAAGUCUUCGGGAACGGACUAGCGGCGGACGGGUGAGUAACACGUGGGUAACCUGCCUCAUAGAGGGGAAUAGCCUUUCGAAAGGAAGAUAAUACGCAUAAGAUUGUAGCUUCGCAUGGAGCAGCAAUUAAAGGAGUAAUCCGCUAUGAGAUGGACCCGCGUCGCAUUAGCUAGUUGGUGAGGUAACGGCUCACCAAGGCGACGAUGCGUAGCCGACCUGAGAGGGUGAUCGGCCACAUUGGGACUGAGACACGGCCCAGACUCCUACGGGAGGCAGCAGUGGGGAAUAUUGCACAAUGGGGGAAACCCUGAUGCAAGCGAACGCCGCGUGAGUGAUGACGGUCUUCGGAUUGUAAAACUCUGUCUUCAGGGACGAUAAUGACGGUACCUGAGGAGGAAGCCACGGCUAACUACGUGCCAGCCGCGGC